Molecule: non-coding RNA, 73 nt
Organism: Cordylochernes scorpioides
Lineage: Eukaryota; Metazoa; Arthropoda; Arachnida; Pseudoscorpiones; Chernetidae
Source: the annotation of a GenBank genome assembly
UCCAGGGUAGCUUAGUGGACAUGGCAUCUGCCCGGUAAGCGGAACACUGUGGGUUCGAUUCCCAUUCCUGGAC